Molecule: unclassified non-coding RNA, 23 nt
Filed under: Escherichia coli
Lineage: Bacteria; Pseudomonadati; Pseudomonadota; Gammaproteobacteria; Enterobacterales; Enterobacteriaceae
Description: tgRNA (5'-R(P*UP*AP*CP*CP*CP*AP*UP*GP*UP*CP*GP*AP*AP*GP*AP*CP*AP*AP*CP*AP*AP*AP*... from Escherichia coli (PDB 7WAH, chain D)
Source: RNAcentral
UACCCAUGUCGAAGACAACAAAG